RNAcentral lists this transfer RNA (64 nucleotides) under pig gut metagenome. The stretch from base 3 to 59 matches the Rfam family "tRNA", at positions 8 to 63 of the family's 71-position model. Rfam says of the family: Transfer RNA (tRNA) molecules are approximately 80 nucleotides in length. Their secondary structure includes four short double-helical elements and three loops (D, anti-codon, and T loops). Further hydrogen bonds mediate the characteristic L-shaped molecular structure. tRNAs have two regions of fundamental functional importance: the anti-codon, which is responsible for specific mRNA codon recognition, and the 3' end, to which the tRNAs corresponding amino acid is attached (by aminoacyl-tRNA synthetases). tRNAs cope with the degeneracy of the genetic code in two manners: having more than one tRNA (with a specific anti-codon) for a particular amino acid; and 'wobble' base-pairing, i.e. permitting non-standard base-pairing at the 3rd anti-codon position. The record is from RNAcentral.
CUUAGCUCAAUGGUAGAGCAAUCGCUUUUUAAGCGAUAGGUUACAGGUUCGAGCCCUGUCGGUA